RNAcentral lists this ribosomal RNA (252 nucleotides) under uncultured prokaryote. RNAcentral's name for it is "partial 16S rRNA". It matches the Rfam family "Archaeal small subunit ribosomal RNA", at positions 475 to 726 of the family's 1478-position model. The record is from RNAcentral.
ACGGGGGGAUCGAGUGGUGGCCACUAUUACUGGGCGUAAAGCGUGUGUAGGUGGGUGGUUAAGUCUCUGGGGAAAUCUUCCGGCUCAACCGGGAGGCGUCUAAGGGAUACUGGCAGGCUAGGGACCGGAAGAGGUGAGAGGUACUCCAGGGGUAGGAGUGAAAUCCUGUAAUCCUUGGGGGACCACCUGUGGCGAAGGCGUCUCACCAGGACGGCUCCGACAGUGAGGAACGAAAGCUGGGGGAGCAAACCG